This 238-nucleotide non-coding RNA is filed under the name Luteibacter yeojuensis. The record is from RNAcentral. Lineage: Bacteria; Pseudomonadati; Pseudomonadota; Gammaproteobacteria; Lysobacterales; Rhodanobacteraceae.
UUACAAUCCGCCCGUUCGGGUGUCCGCCGCGGCCAUGGGGCCGGUAGGAUGAAACGGGAAGCCGGUGCGCCGCGUCGCGGCAAGGCCGGCACUGCCCCCGCAACGGUAAGCACCAGGGGCCCUGCGCCCCGCCCGGCCGGCCUUCGCCACUGCUCACGGGAGCGGGAAGGCGCCCGCCGGGCCUGCGCCAAGCGCGGCAGGUGCGAGUCCGGAGACCGGCCCGAAAGCCCCCUGCCGC